This 468-nucleotide ribosomal RNA is filed under the name uncultured bacterium. RNAcentral's name for it is "partial 16S ribosomal RNA". It matches the Rfam family "Bacterial small subunit ribosomal RNA", at positions 28 to 507 of the family's 1533-position model. The record is from RNAcentral.
GACGAACGCUGGCGGCGUGCUUAACACAUGCAAGUCGAACGGACAGGCCCUGCUUUUGUGGGGUGCUCGAGUGGCGAACGGGUGAGUAACACGUGAGUAAUCUGCCCUUGACUUUGUGAUAACUUCAGGAAACUGGGGCUAAUACCGGAUAGGAGCUCCUGCUGCAUGGUGUGGGUUGGAAAGUUUCGGCGGUUGGGGAUGGACUCGCGGCUUAUCAGCUUGUUGGUGGGGUAGUGGCUUACGAAGGCUUUGACGGGUAGCCGGCCUGGGAGGGUGACCGGCGACAAGGGGACUGAGAGAGGGCGCAGACUCCUACGGGAGGCAGAAGUGGGGAAUAUUGCACAAUGGGCGGAAGCGUGAUGCAGCAACGCCGGGAGCGGGAUGACGGCCUUCGGGGUGUAAACCGCUUUGGACUGUGACGAAGCGUGAGUGACGGUAAUGGGUAAAGAAGCAACGGCUAACUACGUG